GGGAGCAUGGCUCAAUUGAUAAAGUAUUUGCCUAAGAAGGGAGAGGCUCUGAGUUCAAAUCUUAGUGCUGCCA
Molecule: transfer RNA, 73 nt
Filed under: Dipodomys ordii (Ord's kangaroo rat)
Lineage: Eukaryota; Metazoa; Chordata; Mammalia; Rodentia; Heteromyidae
Rfam family: tRNA
About the family: Transfer RNA (tRNA) molecules are approximately 80 nucleotides in length. Their secondary structure includes four short double-helical elements and three loops (D, anti-codon, and T loops).
Source: Rfam by way of RNAcentral